This 496-nucleotide ribosomal RNA is filed under the name uncultured bacterium. RNAcentral's name for it is "partial 16S ribosomal RNA". It matches the Rfam family "Bacterial small subunit ribosomal RNA", at positions 28 to 506 of the family's 1533-position model. The record is from RNAcentral.
GAUGAACGCUGGCGGCGUGCCUAAUACAUGCAAGUCGAGCGAACGGACGAGAAGCUUGCUUCUCUGAUGUUAGCGGCGGACGGGUGAGUAACACGUGGAUAACCUACCUAUAAGACUGGGAUAACUUCGGGAAACCGGAGCUAAUACCGGAUAAUAUUUUGAACCGCAUGGUUCAAAAGUGAAAGACGGUCUUGCUGUCACUUAUAGAUGGAUCCGCGCUGCAUUAGCUAGUUGGUAAGGUAACGGCUUACCAAGGCAACGUUGCAUAGCCGACCUGAGAGGGUGAUCGGCAACCUUGGAACGGAGAACGGGCCAAGCCUCCUACGGGAGGAAGCAGGAGGGAUUCUUGAGCAAGGGGCGAAAGCCGAACCGAGCAACGCCGGUGGAGUGAGGAAGGUCUUCGGUUCGUAAAUCUCUGUUAACAGGGCAGAAAAUAUGUGUAUGUAAAAGUGCGCUCAUGGACGGAACGUAAGCAGAAGGCCCCGCUUAAUUACUU